RNAcentral lists this ribosomal RNA (253 nucleotides) under uncultured bacterium. RNAcentral's name for it is "partial 16S ribosomal RNA". It matches the Rfam family "Bacterial small subunit ribosomal RNA", at positions 524 to 776 of the family's 1533-position model. The record is from RNAcentral.
UACGAAGGUGGCAAGCGUUGUUCGGAUUUACUGGGCGUACAGGGAGCGUAGGCGGUUGGAUAAGCCCUCCGUGAAAUCUCCAGGCUUAACCUGGAAAGUGCAGAGGGGACUGUUCAGCUAGAGGAUGGGAGAGGAGCGCGGAAUUCCCGGUGUAGCGGUGAAAUGCGUAGAGAUCGGGAGGAAGGCCGGUGGCGAAGGCGGCGUUCUGGACUGCAACUGACACUGAGGAACGAAAGCCAGGGGAGCAAACGGG